CAAUCCGCGUCCCGCCAAGCCCUGCUUCCAUUGAAAAUGGCUCUGUUCCGAAGGUAGCAACUAAGUGAGUAUUACCCUUAUUAUGUGAGGCUCAUCUUGAUGAAUUUUUUUCAUAUCCAUGCCUUCCAUCCGUUUCUUCAGAUCAUUUAUUUAAAUUAUAAAAAAAUUUAAGCAGAUUAUAAUCUCAAGUUUACCACACCACUGGAUAAAAUGGUGAAUAACCAUUAAAAACUUUUUGUAGGCCACAAAAGUUUUGGAUCAAGCUAAUAAUUAUAUUUUUCCUUCAUCCAUUUCUAUUUUAUCUUACUAACAGGUUGGAUGUAAAAUAAUCAUUAAGUAUCUUCUUAGUGGGCCUUGGGAAUGUUUUAAUGGUGAUCUCCCAAUCAUCAUUAUUUCUUGUGGUGUGGUUCACCUGAGAGUUGGAUAUUCUUAAUUUUUGGGGUCAUAUUCUAAACUUGGAUUUAAAAAUGGAUGGACUGAUUGGAUAUAUAAAAUAUGAUCAAGGUGGCCCUACGGUAAGGGUAACACUGACUAAACUGUUACCUACACCUAAUCCGCGGUCUACAGAGAAAAGGAAAGACAUUUUUUCUCGAAAAGAGUCCUUGGUUUUCUUCUCAUAACCCGGCUGCUAUCCCUUCCCCUCUGGCUUCUUCAUUUUAACAGGCUUUCUUCUUCACAUCUCAGAAUCCUGAUGGCAACUGAGACUGAAGAGAACCAGAUCAACCCUACGGAUGCCGUUCGUAGGAACGGAAACGUCUGCGGCCGAGCUGUGAGUAUAAGUAGGAUUUUAUAUACAGUGGGGUUUGUCAUAGCAGCCAUCAGUGGAAGCAUGCUCAUCAGUAGCCUAAUCGGGCCGCAGUUUAGGCACCAAAUCUUUUUGUGUUUUUCCGGUUUCAUCGUGGGAUUGGUGCUCAUUUUCGUGGGGGUGAAUCUCUGAUAAGCACCCGUUUUUCCUACCUCACCACCCUCAGUGGUGAGAUUUGAUUGGUGGGUCAUAUGGUGUUUGAGAGAAUUUGACAUUGGGAUUGAAUUCUCUGUUCUUUUAUUUUAAUUUAAUAUUGGGAUUGAUCUGUUGAAUAUGCUGAAUGUAACACUCACCACAUGUAAUUCCACAUGGAUUCAAUUUAUUUUUAUUAGCUAUUUUCUCUUAA
Molecule: long non-coding RNA, 1151 nt
Organism: Magnolia sinica
Lineage: Eukaryota; Viridiplantae; Streptophyta; Magnoliopsida; Magnoliales; Magnoliaceae
Exons: 2
Source: RefSeq, a predicted model, not a curated record